Octopus sinensis (East Asian common octopus) is the source of this 337-nucleotide long non-coding RNA. RefSeq lists it as uncharacterized. Lineage: Eukaryota; Metazoa; Mollusca; Cephalopoda; Octopoda; Octopodidae. The record is from RefSeq and is a predicted model, not a curated record. The transcript is spliced from 2 exons.
UACAUAGUUUGCUGUCUACCCAAUUUCACUUACAGGAUUUGCGUCAAUUCAAAGCUAUGGGCACUUGCUCAAAGUGCUGAACAUAUAUUAGUAACAAUGUUACUUUAAGACGGGUAAACAAUUAAUAAUUAAGCUUUAUUCACUUUCUAUGGAAUUUUUUUCUUAUUUUCCACUUGCAACAUUGUUAUUACAACACAUAAGAGAUAACAAACUGUCUAUGGAAGUAUUAGCUAAUAAACAGCUCUCUAGAGAACAAAUGAAAAAAAUUCCCAAGAAAAUGUAUUAUGGAAUCAGAUUUUAAUAUCCCACACAUAACUCUAGUAGCACAUAUAACAAA